CUGCCUGUCUGUCUCUGUAAUAUAUUGAUGUCCAAUUGCAUGUGCAUGAUCUUUAUAUAAAGUGUAAUAUGUUUUAUCUAAAGGGAUUUGUAAAGUAUACAGAAAUGAACUGUAAAUCUUAAAAGUGUUAUAAGUAAUAUCGUUAUCUUGUGUCUAUGUACUGCCAUGAUGUUUAUGAUUGAAUUAUGUAUGUUUUAGGGCAGAUCUGGACUUCCAUUUGUCCAAAUAAAUCCCUCGAACCACUACAAGUACUCCCUUGUUUCUUGAGAUGACAUGGGUACCGCU
Molecule: long non-coding RNA, 285 nt
Filed under: Haliotis rubra (blacklip abalone)
Lineage: Eukaryota; Metazoa; Mollusca; Gastropoda; Lepetellida; Haliotidae
Description: uncharacterized LOC124270677
Source: RNAcentral